CUAUUACAAGGAAAAGUCCUACUUGACUACUUGAGUAAAAGCAAGUCGGCCAACAGGGAAAAUGGGAGACACGUUGCAGAAAUGUGCACUAUGCUGACUGCAAUGUCUAGUACUUGAUGCAUCAGGUCUGUCCAUAUAUCUGUCCAAAAUCUGUAUCAUCAUGAUCAAUUAAAUUGUUUCAACAAUGAACUUGCACAUAUCACCAAACAAAUUAAUUAUGAACAGCAUAACGUCUUCACAAUUUACAAAUUUUGUCCAAAAAAUAAUUCAGAACUUUUCAUGCUAUUCACAUCUUUUGCACGCAAAAAUCUUUAUUAUUAAAAAAAAACUAUGACUAUAAUUAUUCAUAUUUAGUGAAGUCAUUAAAUAUGAAUAAGAUACACCUUAGUGGGAAACAAGAAAACAAUAAAGUUGGGACUCACAUCGCGCCUUGCAGAGACAAUCUACAAACUGGUAUCAAAUUUUUUACUUUUAAACAAUUAACUGUCAGUUCACGAUUCAAGUUAAGUACAAGUACCUCUGCUCAGUUCUUGAGUUGUAGAGCAACUAAACAGCUAUUUUAUUUUCUCCAAAUACCACAUUUAUUUUUACAUUUCUACUUUUAUUCAUUAAAGUUAUGUCUAAUGUCUUCCCUUUGACUUGCUUACAUUGUUAUUGCGUUCUCUUUGUACCAUGUAAAGGACCUUUGAGUACUCUUUAAAGGGCCAAAUGAACAAAGGUAUGGUUUUAAUGCAAUAGAGUUGUGAUGUCCCAUGAAACAGUUGUGCCCAUUGCACUUUUAGUUUAGAGAUUCUUAAGAAAAGUACCUAAAGCAAUUAUGAAAAUGUGACAUUUAUCAUCUCCAGAGAAACAAACACAAAGAAGCUACUAUGAGUAAACUGCCGCACUGGAGUUCAUGCAUAAGGAAGUGUUUAAUAGUUUCCUGUUUCACCUGCUUACACAGGUACAUAACAAAAUGAUCAAAUUCCAUAGAAAAUCCAACGGUCCUUUGUCUGUUUGGCACCACUUGCCAUUGUAAGAGGUGAAGGCAGGGUUAGAUUACUGCUACAUGAGUCGUCCACUGAGACUCCCAGAAAUGUUUCCUUAAUCCACACCACCAACAUGACCUACAAAACAUUUCCACAAUCCUGAAGGGAACUCUACACUGAACUUCUUGUAAAUUGUGGUUAGGCUGAAUCUCCAGUCCUGUGAAAAUGUUGAGCUGUUUUUUUUCACCUGAUAUUUGUGGUGAGAAAAAUUGCAAUGACAAAACUCUCAAAUGUCAGGUUGAGACUACAGCAGUUCAGACAUAAGAUACAUCUGUUUGCUUUUGCAACGUUUGCAUGCCUACAAUUGUCACAGCAUCUUUAAAGAACAUGAUAAAUUGCCACAAGACAUUAGACGGAUACGAAUCUGUGUUUUGUCCCAGACAUUCUUUGUCUGCAGUGAGUGCAGCAGAAACCUCAAGGCAUCGGUCCAAGGACGGGUAUGAGAUGUCACAUCACACGGCGCUACUUCUACACACACACGUCGUGUAACUUUAGCAGCUUUGUCAGGCUGCAGCUCAAAGCGCUACUUGACUUAGCCCCGGUAAGGGCCAUGAUGUCAAUAACUUAACUUGAACUAGGUUACAACAAUUGCCUUCCAAACCUUGCAGAAUAGCCAGAGAAAGAAUAUUCCGAUACCAGAGCUGACAUCCACCACAAUCAAAUAAAAUAAUGUAACUAGGUUUACAAUGUGACAAGAAACGUGAUGAGUUCAGUCAUGAAGAUCUGCUGCACACUCAGACUUUUAGUCCGCUCAAACACGACUUUCUCCACUCUAGCUGCACAUUCUCAGUUCCAGCGGUCACUCUCAGAAGCCUCAUACUGCAGCAUCAACAUCAACAGUCAAGUUUCAAGCUUAAUUUAGUGAGAGAAGCAGAAAGAAAAUGUAGGGUUUCAGGUUGAAUCCUGAAUUGCACCUGAAAAUCUAUUAUCUGUUAAACGUUUAUUGACGGGUCAUAACUGCAAUUCUUAAAAGACAAUUCAGUGUUUGUGACGAGGCCGUUCAUUCCUCUUAAAAGAACUCAGGUGCUUGUCAUUUUUAGAACUCCUGAUUUGCCUAUGAGUACAUUUUAAAACCUUUUAAGAGAGAUUGAAUUGAAUUAGGUAUUCAAGUAUUGGUAAUAGGAAAAGCAAGUGAAUUAAGACGAUUUGAAGAAUUCUCUUUCCCAAAGUCAGUAAAAGUAAUUUGGGGACUAAUAACAUUGAGCAAAAGUUCUUAACUCUAUCAUAACUGGGCACGACAGCAAAGUCUUGGGGUGUCCAAGGUAAACUGUAUAACGAGACCCACUGGCUGUGAAUAAGUGUAUGUGUGAAUAAGAAGGAGAGAGCUGUCAGUUCCCCAAAUUUGUGCUUUUGCUCAAGAUCCCAUUGUUUAAAUGGGAACAUUAUCCUAUCUCAAAGAAGACAUUUUAAUGCAUAAACUGUGUAUGACUGGGGAAAGUUGUGGAAGACGAUUAAGUCAGAAGGUUCCAUGUGUUCCUAUUUAUGAGUCAUUCCAUGGAAUCUACUGAAAUUCUGAAGUCAUUCUAGAAUGUAUUUUCCAUAUACUGCACAACUCUGUUGGCAGACAGACCUAUGAAGACUGAAGACACUACUGGAAGCGGAAGAAGACCCCUUAUCAAGAUACACCAACAUCACAAGUAGCCUUUUGCGAUUAGUUCAGGUUUCGUGCUUGUUUAUUACGGACAUAGCAGUGGGAAGACACAGACAGAAAAUGUUAUUAUCGAGGGCAACAAAUGGAAAAGGAAAUGAUCACAGACAGAAGGAACGUCAGGAAAGUCUCUCCUCGAUGCCAGUGGUGCCGGUUCUGACUUUGUGGGCUUGCUUGAGGUUUACCUGUUGAGGAAAGUCGAUGUUACCUGAAAGGUAAGGAUCAGCGUGCUGAAUAUUGACUUUUGUAAUAUUGUACCUGCUAAAGUAGCCUUAUUUUUUGGCUCUAUUCUGCAUAUGAAUAUAUAUGCCACAAUCCAAAACUCACACUAAUGUAUGAGGGGUCGUUGAGGACUUAACUACUGAAAUACUCACUAAUGAAACACUCACACAUACAUACUGUGUAAACAGUGGCGUGUAGCGUGUGUUUUAAACUUGUUGCUCUCUCCCUCCCCCUUCAGGUGCUGAGUCUGCGGUGGUGGAUUGAUGUCCCAGGCGGUGGUGUCCCUUUUAUGUUAUGUUUUUUUGAAUGUUUAGUGACACGAGGCGUGAUGUAUGGGUGAGGGCAGUUUAAAUAUUAUAAUGUUGCCAGACAACGCCACCCUGGGAAUUGUUUUGAAUCUUCAACCAAACAAAACUAAAGGGAGGCAAUCAGCUUCGUCGCAAAUGAGGCAGAGACGCAAUUUACAGUACAAAAUGUAAUUUUAUUAAAUUCACAGUUUAAAAACAAGGGUAAAAAACCCUCACUCUGGGACAAGCAACGGGGGAACCAAUCAGGGCUGAGAUUUACGAUGAUGGACUGUCCAAAGAAAAGGGGACGCAAGGAGCACCAUACGUGAAACAACUAAAAGUGAAGCAACUCAAACAACAUGCAAAACAUAACAGGGACACCACCACCUGGGACACCAAUCCACCACCGCAGACUCAGCACCUGAAGGGGGGGGGAGACGAGAGCAACAGGUUUAAAAUAAAAGAAACUAAACCAAAACAGAAAAAUAAUUAGAUUUAACCAAAAACUAUACUAAUAAAACACCGACAAACGGCUUAACCAAAGCUUAACCAAAUCACAAAAUAAAGAAAAUAACAAAUUGACAGACAAAUAACAGAGGAUCCAAACAAAUAAGUAAGGCCUGUCUCUCGUACAGUUAAAAUGUGUCUUAACCCAGUCAGGAGGCCAAAACAAAGCAAACCCAAACAGGGUAAAUACAGCUAAAAGCAAGGCAGACCCAAACGGGAUUACUUUAACCAACACGAGGCAAAGCAGUUUAGCCAAAAGGAAAAGAAACAGGGAUACUUUAACCAAGAGAAGGCAAGCAACUUGGCCAAAAGGCAAAGCAAAGCAAACCCGAACAGGGUUAGUUUAACCAAGGUGCUCUGAGGCCGCCUUUGUACAGCAUUGUCAUGCAGCGAUUGGCUGUGAUCCAGACCCAGCUGAAAGUUAUUAGGACCAAUCACUGCAUACUGCCACAAUCUUCCCCCUGUAAUUAAAUUGUCGUCCCGACGAUGGAAUAACCACAAGCUAAACUUCAACUCCAAGGCCUAAAUAGUGCGGCAACUGCGUUAGACACAGGGCCAGGAUGAUUAACACCUACUCGUUCAGCCCCCCCUGUAGGCUGUGGUAGGCGAUGGAUGUUAGAGUGAUGGCCUGCAGUUGACCUAGUGGUCCGGCUGACAGCAGCACCUUCCAGAACAGGGAAAGAAGCUGUCCUUGUUGCCGGAACCACCGACGAAGGUGGCACAAAGGAGACCGGGUCAGGCGGUGGAACCAGCUGGCGAGGGGUGGUUUGAGCCACUGCUUCUGCCUGAAAGGUAGACAAUGGGUUCUCCGGCCCCAAUACUACCCAAUCUCCAUCACAAGACAGCUCAUCCUCUGACUGAGGUGGCGCAGGAGGAGAGGAAACGCUGGCACUGCCUGGUGAACUAACCCCCAACACCGCCUUCAGCAAAGAUCAUGAACCUGCCUGGCUCUGGUUGGGUCAUCCCUACGGGCAAUGGUGUAAACCGAUCCCCCUUUCCUCGGUGCCUUUAAAACACAAUACAAAACUGAGGCCCACUGAUCCUGGAUCUUGUGGCGACCCCGUACACCAACAUUUCGCAACCAUACCAACUGGCCCUCCUUCAAGGGAACAUCUCAGACACGUUGGGCGCGAUUUGUGUAGAAUGUUGAGGAAAAUACUGAAUUUAAUCCAUUUUGAAAUAAGGCUGUAACAUAACAAAAUGUGUAAAAAGUGAAGCGAUGUGAAUACUUUCCGGAUGCACUGUACGUCAUAUGACGUAGCCCCCGAAGAUACCAAUGUGACAGUUUAGAAUAAUAUUAAUAUAGCCAGCUAUUGGUAAUAGAAAGGCAGAAAGACAUGUUGUGUGCUCUUACAUAUCUAUCUAUAUAGCUUACGUAAGUAAAUGCCAAUCACAGUUAAGUAAGUAUAUAGUUGUCUCUAUACUUUUGACUGUGACUAAACCAAUUACAACUAACAACACUCGUACUCUUAAGGACCGCAUAGCAUCUUCACAUAUUGUCAAAAUAUGAAAAGAAAACGGCAACAGUCGAGGCAUCAUUGCUGCAAAGUCGAGGCAGCUGUUGCGAAGUUGUGGCAGUCACGACUCGCCACGGCAACUCAACCUGCAGAUAACAGUCGUACUUAAACUGUAUUAUACUGUCACAUAUUGUAUACAUAUGAAUACUAAAAUUAACAGAAACUGCCGCGGCACCUCUCCUAAACAAUCGCAGCACCCUCACCCUCCGUGGCACCUCUC
Gasterosteus aculeatus aculeatus (three-spined stickleback) is the source of this 5429-nucleotide long non-coding RNA. The record is from Ensembl. Lineage: Eukaryota; Metazoa; Chordata; Actinopteri; Perciformes; Gasterosteidae.